GCCAGGCGCAGUGGCUUACGCCUGUAAUCCCAGCAAUUUGGGAGGCUGAGGUGGGUGGAUCACUUGAGGUCAGGAGUUCAAGACCAGCCUGGCCAAUAUGGUGAAACCCCAUCUCUA
Molecule: unclassified non-coding RNA, 117 nt
Organism: Pongo abelii (Sumatran orangutan)
Lineage: Eukaryota; Metazoa; Chordata; Mammalia; Primates; Hominidae
Rfam family: Metazoan signal recognition particle RNA
About the family: The signal recognition particle (SRP) is a universally conserved ribonucleoprotein. It is involved in the co-translational targeting of proteins to membranes.
Source: Ensembl